CAUUAACGAANUUCAUUGGGAGUUGAGCUGACUCUUCGGAGUAUGUGCUUGCUUUCAACUCUUCUCUUUAACCACCUGUGCACCUUUGUAGUCUAUUGAUACCUCUCAAAGAGUCGAAAGACGAUUUGGAUAGAGGACUUGCAGUCUAAAUACUCGCUUGUCUUCAAUUUCAAURGACUAUGUCUUAUAAACUCAAUAUAAAAAACCAGAAUGUCUUUUGUAGUGUCUUUAUACGACCUAUAAACUUAUACAACUUUCAACAACGGAUCUCUUGGCUCUCGCAUCGAUGAAGAACGCAGCGAAAUGCGAUAAGUAAUGUGAAUUGCAGAUUUCAGUGAAUCAUCGAAUCUUUGAACGCACCUUGCACUCUUUGGUAUUCCGAAGAGUAUGCCUGUUUGAGUGUCAUUAAAUUCUCAAACCUCUUUGGCUUUAUUGGUCGAAAAGGCUUUGGAUGUGGGAGUUGCUGGAACUAGUCUUUCAGCUCUUCUUAAAUGUAUUAGCGGGUUACUGAUCUCCGCUACUUGGUGUUGAUAGUCUAUCUUACACCUUGUAGUUGAAUCAACUUAUGUAGCUGCUUCUAAUCGUCGACUUGGUUGACAAAUUUACUUGACUAUUUGACCUCAAAUCAGGUAGGACUACCCGCUGAACUUAAGCAUAUCAAUAAGCGGAGGAAAAGAAAC
This 680-nucleotide ribosomal RNA is filed under the name uncultured fungus. RNAcentral describes it as "eukaryotic LSU rRNA". The stretch from base 252 to 405 matches the Rfam family "5.8S ribosomal RNA". The record is from RNAcentral. Lineage: Eukaryota; Fungi.